UUGACCCGUCUUGAAACACGGACCAAGGAGUUUAUCUACUACGCGAGUAAAUGAGUGUGUUGAAAACUUAUUUGCGCAAAUAAAUUAACUGUUUAAUGGGAUUACAAGCAAAGCACUUGUGCAAUGCUUCUCCAUCCCGGAGUAUUUUCAUCAACAUAUGCUUGCAUAUGGAAAAUAUAUCAUGAGCGUACUGGAUAUGACCCGAAAGAUGGUGAACUAUGCCUGAUCAGGUUGAAGUCAGGGGAAACCCUGAUGGAAGACCGAAGCAAUUCUGACGUGCAAAUCGAUUGUCAGAAUUGGGCAUAGGGGCGAAAGACCAAUCGAAGUAUCUAGUAGCUGGUCACUUCCGAAGUUUCCCUCAGGAUAGCUGGAGCAUAGAGAGUUUAUUUACUAACUCAUACCUGGUAAAGCGAAUGAUUAGAGGCCUUAGGCGCGAAAUGCGUUUAACCUAUUCUCAAACUUUAAAUGGGUAUGUAAGCUAUCAUACUUGAAUGAUGAUGGCCUAUGGCGAGCUUGCUCGUCUGUAAGAUUGUAUGCGCCCAGUGGGCCAAGUUUUGGUAAGCAGAACUGGUGCUGUGGGAUGAACCAAACGCAUUGUUAAGGCGCCCAAAUAAACGACGCAUCAUCUGAUACCAUGAAAGGUGUUGAUUGCGAAGACAGCAAGUAGCGGGUAACCCG
RNAcentral lists this ribosomal RNA (678 nucleotides) under Corynoneura edwardsi. RNAcentral's name for it is "eukaryotic LSU rRNA". It matches the Rfam family "Eukaryotic large subunit ribosomal RNA", at positions 644 to 1258 of the family's 3401-position model. The record is from RNAcentral. Lineage: Eukaryota; Metazoa; Arthropoda; Insecta; Diptera; Chironomidae.